CCUCCUUUCUAGAGAAAGAGAUGUUAGGUUAUGAAAAUUAAGGAUUAUUUAAUUCUUUAAUUGCUGUUCAAUUUUAUAUUUAUAUAUACAGACUGUAUUAAAAACAGAGUCUCGUAGCUCAGCUGGUUAGAGCGCUACACUGAUAAUGUAGAGGUCGGCAGUUCGAGUCUGCCCGAGACUACUUUUUUUUAAAGGGGUUUUUAUUAUAUAAACACAUAUAGGAAAUUUUAGAGGUUGAGUUUUAUACAACUAAGGCCUACAGAAGAAAUUUUUGGGGGAUUAGCUUAGCUGGCUAGAGCGCCUGCCUUGCACGCAGGAGGUCAUCGGUUCGACUCCGAUAUUCUCCACAACGAAUUUUAAUUAAUUCGCUACAAGUUCAUUGACAUAUUGAAAUACUGAUAUCGUAAAGAUACAGAAGUUAUAUUUUAGAAAACUAAAAUUAUUAACGAGCUAUAAUACAAAUAGAGAGCAUACUAUUAAGUAUGCAACAU
This 491-nucleotide transfer RNA is filed under the name uncultured Bacteroidota bacterium. Its description in RNAcentral is "uncultured Bacteroidetes bacterium partial 16S-23S ribosomal RNA intergenic spacer". The stretch from base 108 to 181 matches the Rfam family "tRNA". Lineage: Bacteria; Pseudomonadati; Bacteroidota. The record is from RNAcentral.